CAUGUCUUUUUGUUUAUGAUUUAAAGUCUAAUCUGCUCAAUGAUUUUUUUUAAAUAGCUGCAGUAUCCUAACUGUACAAAGGUAGCAUAAUAAUUUGCUUUUUAAUUGAAAGCUGGAAUGAAUGAUUGUACGAGAAAAUGUCUGUCUCAAAAUAAUUUAAGUGAAUUUUACUUUUGAGUUCAAAGGCUCAAAUUUUUUUUUUAGACGAGAAGACCCUAUAGAGCUUUAUAUUUAAUAUAAUAAAAAAUUUUUAGAAUUUUUUAUUUUCAUUUAUACUAAGUAUUUAAUUGGGGUGAUUUAAAAAUUUAAUUAACUUUUUAUUAAUAAAUUAUAUUUGUAUAAAUAAUUAAUCUAAAUAUUUUAAGACUAAAAUAAGUUACCUUAGGGAUAACAGCGUUAUUUAAUUUUUGAGUUCUUAUUAAAAAUUAAUUUUGCGACCUCGAUGUUGGAUUAAAAUUUAAAAUUGAUGCAGAAGUCAAUAUUUUAAGUCUGUUCGACUUUUAAAAUUUUACAUGAUCUGAGU
RNAcentral lists this ribosomal RNA (523 nucleotides) under Trypherus mutilatus. RNAcentral describes it as "partial 16S ribosomal RNA". The stretch from base 387 to 523 matches the Rfam family "Archaeal large subunit ribosomal RNA", at positions 2542 to 2679 of the family's 2987-position model. The record is from RNAcentral. Lineage: Eukaryota; Metazoa; Arthropoda; Insecta; Coleoptera; Cantharidae.